This 320-nucleotide long non-coding RNA is filed under the name Carica papaya (papaya). RNAcentral's name for it is "long non-coding RNA (CPAP_LNC011725)". The record is from RNAcentral. Lineage: Eukaryota; Viridiplantae; Streptophyta; Magnoliopsida; Brassicales; Caricaceae.
GGAAACUAAUAAACAUCUUGGCAUCUACUCGCUAUCUUCUUGUGGAUCGGGCUCGGGAACUAAGUCCUCCUGAUCUAAAAUGGUUAAGUAAGAAAUGAGCUACACUAGCCCAGUAAAAACAUAACACUUUAUCACUGUCACAGAAGUAAAGGUUGGUAUAAAAUCAAAAACAACCAAUGGAGCACAAAUUUGAAUAAAUUCAUUUAUCAAUAAUCAAACCAGUUACCGUCCACUUACCUCAGUGGGAUUUAUAAAAACGACCCAUGAAAAUAAUAACAUCAUAGAUAUCAUGAAUUCACACAUAAUCUGUAACAUAGCGC